AAGUCGUAACAAGGUUUCCGUAGGUGAACCUGCGGAAGGAUCAUUAACACGUCUAAAUAACAACUACACGUGAACAAAAAAACGCCUUGGAUGUGGUGUACAAGCAGCAAUGUUCGUACAUCCUCUAAGGUUCUCCGCUGUCUGUAACAGGAUAGCAGAGGCGGUAGUUAUAUAAGCUUGCUUGUAUACCUACCGUUGCCGUUCUACACAAUUUGAUAAUUAAUUUGUGAAUAUCACACCAAAAUAUAACACUUUCAACAGUGGAUAUCUUGGCUCCCACAACGAUGAAGAACACAGC
Molecule: unclassified non-coding RNA, 298 nt
Filed under: fungal sp.
Lineage: Eukaryota; Fungi
Description: partial internal transcribed spacer region
Rfam family: Eukaryotic small subunit ribosomal RNA (bases 1-46)
Source: RNAcentral